This 6906-nucleotide long non-coding RNA is filed under the name Ananas comosus (pineapple). RNAcentral's name for it is "long non-coding RNA (ACOM_LNC029056)". Lineage: Eukaryota; Viridiplantae; Streptophyta; Magnoliopsida; Poales; Bromeliaceae. The record is from RNAcentral.
GAGCAUAAAGUAGAGAAUGGGAAAGUGGUUUAGAUGAACCUAGGAGACCCUAGGAUAGUAAACCAUAGGAGAUUAAGGCUCGUGAGAGACGAGGACUUGCGACUUUUGGCGAAAGGUUAAGGGAUUGGGUUGUGUUGUAAACCUCUAAAAAGGAGAUUAGAGGUAGAUCCAAGGUGUUGUCUAUUCUCAACCGAGAGUGUUCAUGUUGGACGCGUACAACAUGAAACCGAGUGAUGAGAAUAGAUGCCCUUGUAUGACUUUCGCCCGAUUUGAGUUGAUGUCAGUUGUCUCGUACUCGACCUAGAAGGUUGAGAGUUAGUUGAGUUGUUAUGUUCUAGGUAACGAUGGCACCGUGUAGGCGAUCUUCGUUUAGAUCGACGCGGGGUGGGACAAGUGAUGUCCCAGAGCAAUCCAAGGCGAGCGGAGAUUUGGAACUUCGCGAACGGUUGGCCACACUUGUGGGUGUGGUGAGGCAACGAGCAGAUGUGGUGCAGCGGCAGCAGGAGGCUGCUAUACACCAGGAGGAGCGAAUUAAGAGACUCCGAAAAAAAAUUGUAGGUGUAAUAUACCGAAACUUCGGUAAGCGAACAUCGAACCUUGGUCAAAUUGACCAAAGAGCGAGGUUGGUACACUUCGGAAAGGCCGAAGGCGUCAAAUAAUGCAAAAGUGCGUUGCUGGGGAUCUUCGAGAGCUUUGGGAAUCAAAAUCUGCAAACUGCAGGUUUUCUGCUCUCGGGGACCGGUCCCUGGUGGGAGAGACCGGUCCCCGCACACGCAGACAGCGAAAGGGAGGAAAAAUCGGCUAAGUCCCCGGUGGACAGCUCUCGGGAACCGGUCCCUGCAGGGAGAGACCGGUCCCGAAGAGACCGGUCCCAUCGGGGGAGACCGGAUGCAUCGUGCGUGAGCCCUGCUGACCGCGGGGAGAGCUCUCGGAGACCGGUCCCUCGUCGGGGAGACCGGUCCCCGAACCUGAAAAUGGCCCAGUUAGGGCAGUGUAAAAGAGUAAAAGUUGAGAGGCUUGUUUGCACUUAUGCAACAUGUGGGGCUAUGUGAGGAGUAUGAGAGCUCUUUUCUCUUAUUUCUCAUCCACACACCCUCUCAUAUCUCUCUUUCUCUCUCUAGAAGACAAGAAGAGGAAGAAGAAAGGAAGGGAAAAGAAAGAGAAAGAGCGGGCUUUGGCAGCCCUCAUGACCUUCAUAAAGUUUGAUCCACCUAUCUUCGACGGAGAGAAUGUCAUUUCGUGGAUUGUGGAUACGUGGAUUGACUCUGUGGAAACGCUCUUCGAGGAGCUGUCUACCUUGGAGCGGGACAGGGUAUCCCUAGCCGUGUAUUGUUUGAAAUAGUCGGCUAAGGCGUGGUGGAAAAGCAUUCGGCGGAACCGAUCACCUAGUAUUCCUCCAUGGCAUGGGAUGAGUUUCGGGGAUUGGUAUCUUCUACUGACUUCCCCCGACAGUUAAAAGAGGAAGCUUCAGGACAAGUUCAGGAAGCUGCGGCAAGGAGACCGCUCAGUUAGAGAGUACGAACGGGAAUUCUCCCUAUCGUGAACUAUGUCCGGGAUAUGGAACCUGCUGCUGACAACGUCAUGGCAGGUAUGAGCCAUUAAUGCAGUCAUGUGUUUCUGCAUAAUGUAAAGUUGGUGCAUUGCAUGCAUUGAGCAUGUAAUUAAUUACUACUAUUUAUGUAGUAGCAUAGUAGGGUCCAAGUGAGCGGAUAAAUGUAAAUACCCGGGCACGCUUAUGUGGUGAAAGCGUUGCACCUGCCGGUGCAGGUAGAGAACUGGAUGGUACUAGCGAGUUGUUAGUGAUGGUCUAAUGAUGAGACUUGUAGUAGAGGUGGAAAUGACGAACCAACUCGCAGAGCAAUGUAUGUAAUUGAUUGCGAGAGUUGUGUCAUGACACUUGUGGACACUCGAAUGGUUUGAGUGUUCUAGAUGUUGCUCCGGUAGAGCGAUUGGCUGCCAAAAUCCGGGCGCGUUGGCCUAGUAGUACCCCGAAUUGAGGUGGGUGAGUCGUGCUCGUGUGGCCGGUGUGCAUGGGCAAAGUUGCCUGAUGCUUGACAUAGUUGGAACGCUAUAGAGGCGCGUAUAGCGCUCGAGUAUAUUUACUCGUGGAGUGCGGAUUUAAUUCAGCCGGAUGAGUGUGUUGGCAGUAGCACCUGAGCAUUGCUAGGUGUGAAGCGUGCCACGGAUCACUCGUGGAGCUGGUGGCUCGCACUUGGUGCAUAGGAGCCGAUAGUGGUACGUAUUGCUCAAUAGAGCGUGUAGUGCGAUUGAUAGUAUACUGAGAGUGCGAGUGUGACCCAACCCGGGAAUCUGUAACGGUUUGGGAUCUUAGUUGCUCCUGGUUGGAGUGUGUGCGAAUUCCCAAGUGAGAAUUUCGCCCCAAUGAUGAUUGGGUCUGCACUGCGAGCGAGAGACGCUGCGUAUUGAGAAAGGUUUAGGCGGUAGGCCUACAUAGUAUUGGUGGCCUUUGGUCCACCUGUGGAGACCGAAGAGGGCGGUUUGGCGGAUAGCCUUAUCGAGGAGUCUAACUCGAAUCCACGAAUGAAGCGUUCGUGUGAACUCGUUGCGAAAUUAGUUCAAUGUUGACCGUGGCAUAUGGUAUUAGAAGAUGAAGUGCUCUUUGUGAGACCUUGAGCUAGUAGCAAGCCACGUGGAAUUUGAGGAUUGGAAUUGGGAUGCGCCGAGGUGGGCCAUCUCAUGUUAGAGCUAAAGAUCGGUGCGGAAUUAGAGCGCUCGCGUGGAAGCGAUGCAUCAGUGAUGUUGCUUUUAAGCACUGUUGGAGAUAGAAUCGGAAUGUAUUCCCUGAAGGGAAAAGUACAUGCAAAGAAGAGUUCUUGCAUGCCAAAUGACAAGUGGGGUUGGAGCGUGUGUAGUCGUUGAAUUUCGACUUGCGCUUCCACCAAGAAUGGUGGAUACCGUAAUGCACUUUGUGGGAUGCACCUUACAAAGUUGUAUAAGUUUGGUAUUGUACCCUCCGUGAUAGUUCUCUUGGAUAGUUCCAAGGAGUGUAAAGCCAUUCCGAAGUGGAAAAGUGCAUUAGUGCUCUCAAUUGCUCGAGGAGCCGAAUUGAGGUGUGAUUUGAGUUUCGCGGACGAAACUCUUUUUAAGGGGUGCGAUGAAUGUAAGUAUUACCAGAUUUUGGUAUAAUAACUAAUAAUAAAUAAAUAGGGAGAAACUAUUUUUAUUGAUUUAUAGAGUAAAAAUAAGUCAAGAGGUGACUUGUGCUUGAAAUGCGGAAUUUAAACAGUAGAUCUAGAAUUUUCUGUUGGAGGGAACAGAAAAAUAAGCCAGAAAAUGCACCUUAAAUAGUCUCAGAAUUAUGUAAAGAUUGGCGGAGAUGUCAGAGAAAUAUUUUAUGGGCUUAGAUAUUAAGGUUUCAAUAUUUUUCUGACACCCAUUAGAUGAUGAAAUUAAAAUCCGAAAGCUAUCUGAUAAAGCAUAUGCUAUGUUCGGCAUCAGUUUUCAGUGACAAAUGGCGAGUUCGAAUGAACCGUGUAUCUGUUCGCUUGUAAGUAAGUAAAUCCGAAUAUGACUGUCAAGUUUAGCUCAAACGGAGAUUCAGGGAGCUCCGCGAAAGUUAUCAGAUUUUAAGCUGCCUGUGAGUGAUAUAGAUGAUUUUUGUGGGUGUAAUGUAUAAGAAGCUUUUGCUUCUUAUCUUAUUCAGACGACACAUUGGACACCCACGCAUGAUUUCUAACCGCGCAUUGGAGAAGGGGAGAUAACCCUUCUUUCUCUCUCUAGAUUGCUCUAUAUUCUCGUAUAUUUAUCGCUCAAAGUUCGCCCUUGUUGUGUGAGAAUAUGCUGCGAACACGUUGGAGGGCGCGAUUGAGCUUUCGUGCCGACGUUGAGCGGUGUGUUUACGUCGCGGGUUCCAUUGAGGUAGCUUUAAGAUUUGGCUUAUCCUUAGCUUUAAGUUUCUAAUAGCCUUCUAAUGAGCUUUAGUUAGCAUGUUGCAUUUUCAUUUAUAUUUUGGAUUAUUUUGAGUAAUAACAUAUUAGGGUCGAAUGUAGGUUUUGCUUCAAAAUAUAAGGGGUUAUGAUCUAAUUUGACCCUCCGUAACCUAAUUGCUAGUAAGACGGAACGCUAGGUUGGCGAAGACGGUUAUGAGCAAUUUUCGCACGAGCCGGAUUGCCGAAGCUUAUUAAAGAAACGGAGUUUAGGCUUCGGGUCCGCGAGGGCGACCGGCGGAUAUCUGUAAAUUACAUGAAAUGGAUUUGAAGCUCGUCGGCACAAACCGAAGCGCUUUUAAUUUUUCGGAUCGUGAAUUGGAGGCCAUAUCGGUGGCGCUGUGAGAGGAUUCGACCAAACGGUUAGGGUGACGCGGGGGCCGAUUGCAGUGCUCGACAAGGCAAUGCGGAGAUGCAAAUGAGGUGGGUUGUGAUCAGAGCGAUUAGGUCGAUUUCAUGUGCUAAAGUGUAGUAUGUUUACUAUUGAUGCUGAUAAACGUAUGUGUUUUAAGAAUGCAUUGAUAAAAUUAAGUGUGCUAUUUGAGAAUGCAUUGAUAAGAGUAUGCUAAUUAAAGAAAUGAAUGAUUAAAGAUAGAUGCAAAUGAAUGCAUGAGUUGAUGUUAAUUUAUAUGUGUCUAUUAUAGAAAAUGCUAAAUAUUUGAUGUCUCAAAUGAAAGUAUAGAUUGGUAACAACUGAGAAUGCAUUAUAAAUGUUUAACGAUGCAUAAAAUGCUAAGUAAUUGACUACAAUGGUGACAAAUAUAUGCAUGUUGAACAUAGAUCGAGUGGAUUGAAAUGUAAAGUGGAGCUAGAGUUAGUUGUGGCGACAUCAUAGAUAAAUGUGAUUAGUAUAAGAACAAUGAUAAUGGUAAUAUGAUAAUGUAAAAUAAUGUGAUUGAUAAUUAAUGUAAUGGUUUGAUGUAUGUGAGUACACGUUUGCUUAUUAGAAAAUGAUUAAAGAUCUAAAAUAAUCUUAUGUGUAAUGCAUGAAUGUAAUGUGGCAAACUACGAUGAUUAAUGGUUGAGACAAGGAGCAAAGCAUGCUGAUGUAAAAGUAUAAUGUUAAUGGCUAAGACAAUGUAAUGUAAGUGUGGAAUUAAAGGACGUGUAAAGUUAAGAAUGUGAAAGCUAAGAUAGCUUAAAUAAAAGGAAUGCUGAAAGCUGAUUGCUAGGGAGUAGCAAAAGUAAAGAGAUUGUAGAAGAACAAUGUUGCUAGAGAAAAAAAAUAAAAAAAAAUAAAAAAAAAAAAAAAAAAAAUAAAAAAAAAAAAAAAAACUGGCACAUAAGUGAUCGUAAAAAAAACUGAGUUAGUGUAAAGCAUGAUUCAAUACAAAUCCUUGAGCUUAGGAUAUGAUCAUAUUUGCUUAUGAUGUUCCUGUGGCACUCGAGGAGCGGUCGCUCCCCCGAAUCGGGCGAUGCGGAUCCGGAUGUUUUUGGCAUCCGGGUUGGAGGAGUAGACCCGUAAGACGUCCUAAGUUGGUGGUUCCUGACGGAUGAUGACUUAAUGUGAAGCAAGUUGAAUGUGGCGAAACCCCGGUGUUAGCCGUUGAGAUUAAGAACAAAGAACAGAAAAGCGUCAAUUCAUGGAUGGAAGUUGAUUUGUAUUCAUUAUGAAUUGACUCAGAACCGAGAUCGGUGGCAUAGGUUGGCUAGGGUAAAGCGCUAGACACUGUGAAAGAUAUGAAAUGAGAAAGAAUGAUAAUUGGAGAAACGUUUGUGAUAUGUUAUAAAGAAUAAGCAAAUGUGAUUAUAAUGCGCCCUAAGGUGCAUGAGCCUUAGCAAGAAUAAAGAAUAUAAGAAUAAGAAGAAUAAAAGAAUAAAGAAUAAAGAAUAAAGAAUAAAUUGAUUAAAGAAUAAGAAUGGCUAUAAUGAUAAAAGAAUUUGCAUACAUUUUCUAAAGAAAGGACUUAAUGUAAAGGAAUGAUAAGAGUUGCAUUAAUUUUGCAUAUUUGUGAAGCAUGCAAUAUGUAUUGGAUGAUGUAUAUAUUUUUAUAUCUGUUGGACUAAAUGUUGCAGUGCCUCCUUUGGACCUGGUGGGUUGAGCUUUUCACUUGGGUGGCUGUACCCACUGACGACUAUGGACAAUAGUCUCACCCCCGUGUUGUUGUUUUUGGGGGUACAGGUUCACACGCGAGCGGCGCGGCGGCGCGAGGAAAGGGCGUAGCUCCGUAGUUAGCGCCCUACCACAGAGACCAGAUAGCAGCACCCUGAGUCGGCUUCUUAGGGGUAUAAGAAAAGAAAAGAAAAGAAUCGAUGUUGUAAUAUUAUGUUUAGAAAUCGAUUGUAUAUUUGGAAGUUGAGAAUCAAUGUAAUGAAAAAUGCGAUGUAAAAUGAUGAGAUGAAUGAUUGUAAUAAUAUAGGAUGUGUUAUGUUGUUUGAUACCUUCCUUAUGCAAUCGUUGUUGAUAAUUGUUCCUGUUUGGAACCUCUUGUAAUUGUAUUGAUUGCGACGCCUUGAACGUACAGGGGAGACUCUGUCCGCGUGCAGGGGAAACCCUGUCCGUUCGGCGGUCUGUUGGCGUGCCCGAAUCCGACCAAAGAGGCGGGCUCGGGGCGUGACAGGUAAGAUGGUAUCAGAGCAUAAAGUAGAGAAUGGGAAAGUGGUUUAGAUGAACCUAGGAGACCCUAGGAUAGUAAACCAUAGGAGAUUAAGGCUCGUGAGAGACGAGGACUUGUGACUUUUGGCGAAAGGUUAAGGGAUUGGGUUUUGUUGUAAACCUCUAAAAAGGAGAUUAGAGGUAGAUCCAAGGUGAUGUCUAUUCUCAACCGAGGGUGUUCAUGUUGGACGCGUACAACAUGAAACCGAGUGAUGAGAAUAGAUGACCUUGUAUGACUUUCGCCCGAUUUGAGUUGAUGUCAGUUGUCUCGUACUCGACCUAGAAGGUUGAGAGUUAGUUGAGUUGUUAUGUUCUAGGUAACGAUGGCACCCCGUAGGCGAUCUUCGUUUAGAUCGACGCGGG